CUUGAAAAGGACAGCCGCCAGCAGGCAAAAAGUGCAACAUGGCAGCAGGAACGCCGGCUUCGGGUCACAUCUUCCAAGUUUGGUGCGGUCCUGAAUAGGAAGGAGUGGACUAUUAAGGGCCUGCAGAACCUCACAGCUGCAAGAGACCUUUCUAGAGUUACUGCAGUCAAUUACGGCAUCAAGAUGGAGUCGCUAGCUGCUCAACGCUACGAGGAUGCUCUACGCCGUCUGGGCCAUGCUCCUACAGUUAGCACCUGUGGAUUGCUGGUUAACCCAGCUUUUCCUUGGUUGGGUGCGUCGCCCGACAGGAUUGUGUACGACCCCACAGAACAAUCCUAUGGUGUAGUGGAGAUAAAGUGUCCCUACUCUUUA
Molecule: non-coding RNA, 372 nt
Organism: Dermacentor albipictus
Lineage: Eukaryota; Metazoa; Arthropoda; Arachnida; Ixodida; Ixodidae
Source: RefSeq, a predicted model, not a curated record